This 870-nucleotide ribosomal RNA is filed under the name Cosmospora aquatica. RNAcentral's name for it is "SSU rRNA". It matches the Rfam family "Eukaryotic small subunit ribosomal RNA", at positions 151 to 1030 of the family's 1831-position model. Lineage: Eukaryota; Fungi; Ascomycota; Sordariomycetes; Hypocreales; Nectriaceae. The record is from RNAcentral.
GGUAAUUCUAGAGCUAAUACAUGCUAAAAAUCCCGACUUCGGAAGGGAUGUAUUUAUUAGAUUAAAAACCAAUGCCCUUCGGGGCUCUCUGGUGAUUCAUGAUAACUUCUCGAAUCGCAUGGCCUUGUGCCGGCGAUGGUUCAUUCAAAUUUCUUCCCUAUCAACUUUCGAUGUUUGGGUAUUGGCCAAACAUGGUUGCAACGGGUAACGGAGGGUUAGGGCUCGACCCCGGAGAAGGAGCCUGAGAAACGGCUACUACAUCCAAGGAAGGCAGCAGGCGCGCAAAUUACCCAAUCCCGACACGGGGAGGUAGUGACAAUAAAUACUGAUACAGGGCUCUUUUGGGUCUUGUAAUUGGAAUGAGUACAAUUUAAAUCCCUUAACGAGGAACAAUUGGAGGGCAAGUCUGGUGCCAGCAGCCGCGGUAAUUCCAGCUCCAAUAGCGUAUAUUAAAGUUGUUGUGGUUAAAAAGCUCGUAGUUGAACCUUGGGCCUGGCUGGCCGGUCCGCCUCACCGCGUGUACUGGUCCGGCCGGGCCUUUCCCUCUGUGGAACCCCAUGCCCUUCACUGGGUGUGGCGGGGAAACAGGACUUUUACUUUGAAAAAAUUAGAGUGCUCCAGGCAGGCCUAUGCUCGAAUACAUUAGCAUGGAAUAAUAGAAUAGGACGUGUGGUUCUAUUUUGUUGGUUUCUAGGACCGCCGUAAUGAUUAAUAGGGACAGUCGGGGGCAUCAGUAUUCAAUUGUCAGAGGUGAAAUUCUUGGAUUUAUUGAAGACUAACUACUGCGAAAGCAUUUGCCAAGGAUGUUUUCAUUAAUCAGGAACGAAAGUUAGGGGAUCGAAGACGAUCAGAUACCGUCGUAGUCUUAAC